This is a long non-coding RNA of Monodelphis domestica (gray short-tailed opossum), 572 nucleotides long. RefSeq lists it as uncharacterized. NCBI's taxonomy places the organism in Eukaryota, Metazoa, Chordata, Mammalia, Didelphimorphia, Didelphidae. The record is from RefSeq and is a predicted model, not a curated record.
UCUACUUCUUUGUUUUAUCCUUACAACAUUUCAUUGGAUCAUAGACUCUGGACUGAAAGGAACUUCAGUGGCCAACUAGUCCAAUUCUGCUCAUGUGAUAGAUGAAGAAACUGAGAGAGGCCCAGAGAAGUUGCCAUAGCCUAAGAAUUCAUCACCUACUGGCGAUCAACCUCUUCCUUCUUAACUAGACUGGUCCUUGGAAAAGAGGUGCCUGUAGUGAUCUGCACUGGACCCAGACCUCAGAGCCAGAAGUCAUACAGACAGGCAAGGAACUCUGAAAAAGUCAAAGUGCCUGGGAUUGAGCCCAAAGUGAACUUUAGAUUUGGAACUACGAUUUAAGCUCCCCUUAAUUUCUAGUUCGUUGCUACUACAAAGAGACUUGCUAUCAAUAUCAAUAUUUUUGAACAGAGGGAUCAUUUUCUUCCUCUCAUCUCUGUGGAGUAGAGUGACAUCACAGUAAAUUAUUGACUGUAUUUCAAGAAAAACAUUCUUAUUGUGAUACAAUGGUAGAACUAUAAUCUUUUUUUCUUAUUGUUUCAGAACCCCUAGAAAUUAAAUGGAACAGGAAACAA